ACAGAUGCUAUGAUAGGGAAGAGUAAAUUAUGUCUACAUUUUCAGAGAGGAAACGGUAGCUGAGAAGUUUCUAUUUGUACUUAAUUGAAGGUAGCCCUUGAGCAGCUUUAGUGAACUAACAGUAGUUAAAGCCGGUUAAACACCGUUACCGAAUUAAGAGCCAGUAGGGAAGGCUGAGAAAAUGUGUCAUUUAGCAUUGAUCUUAACCGCUGCUGGAAUUAAAGGUGGUACCGCGAAUUAAAACUCCUUCGUCCUUUUA
RNAcentral lists this non-coding RNA (259 nucleotides) under Lysinibacillus sphaericus. Its description in RNAcentral is "Lysinibacillus sp. T-box sequence". It matches the Rfam family "T-box leader". Rfam says of the family: Uncharged tRNA acts as the effector for transcription antitermination of genes in the T-box leader family. T-boxes are found upstream of many aminoacyl-tRNA synthetase genes and some amino acid biosynthetic genes usually in Gram-positive bacteria. The anticodon of a specific tRNA base pairs to a specifier sequence within the T-box motif, and the NCCA acceptor tail of the tRNA base pairs to a conserved bulge in the T-box antiterminator hairpin. The record is from RNAcentral. Lineage: Bacteria; Bacillati; Bacillota; Bacilli; Caryophanales; Bacillaceae.